GAUGAACGCUGGCGGCGUGCCUAAUACAUGCAAGUCGAGCGGACAGACGAGGAGGUUGCUCCCGUAACGGUAGCGGCGAACGGAUGAGUAACACCUGGAUCACCUACUUAUAAGACUGGGGUAACUGCGGUAACCCGGAUCUACUACCCGAGAAUAUAUGGAACCGCAUAGUUCAAUGGUGAAAGAGGGUUUUUCGUGCACUUAUAGAUGGAUCCGCGGCGGAGUGGCUAGUUGGUAAGGUAACGGCGUACCAAGGCAACGAUGCGUAGCCGACCUGAGAGGGUGAUCGGCCACACUGGAACUGAGACACGGUCCAGACUCCUACGGGAGGCAGCAGUGGGGAAUCUUGGACAAUGGGCGAAAGCCUGACGGAGUAACGCCGCGUGAGUGAUGAAGGUCUUCGGAUCGUAAAACUCUGUUAUUAGGGAAGAACAAAUGUAUAAGUAACUACGACCGUCUUGACGGUACCUAAUGAGAAAGCACCGGCUAACUCCGUG
RNAcentral lists this ribosomal RNA (497 nucleotides) under uncultured bacterium. RNAcentral's name for it is "partial 16S ribosomal RNA". It matches the Rfam family "Bacterial small subunit ribosomal RNA", at positions 28 to 507 of the family's 1533-position model. The record is from RNAcentral.